RNAcentral lists this ribosomal RNA (423 nucleotides) under uncultured beta proteobacterium. Its description in RNAcentral is "bacterial SSU rRNA". It matches the Rfam family "Bacterial small subunit ribosomal RNA", at positions 958 to 1385 of the family's 1533-position model. Lineage: Bacteria; Pseudomonadati; Pseudomonadota; Betaproteobacteria. The record is from RNAcentral.
AACGCGAAGAACCUUACCUACCCUUGACAUGGUCGGAAUUCUGCUGAGAGGCGGAAGUGCUCGAAAGAGAACCGAUACACAGGUGCUGCAUGGCUGUCGUCAGCUCGUGUCGUGAGAUGUUGGGUUAAGUCCCGCAACGAGCGCAACCCUUGUCAUUAGUUGCUACGAAAGGGCACUCUAAUGAGACUGCCGGUGACAAACCGGAGGAAGGUGGGGAUGACGUCAAGUCCUCAUGGCCCUUAUGGGUAGGGCUUCACACGUCAUACAAUGGUACAUACAGAGGGCCGCCAACCCGCGAGGGGGAGCUAAUCCCAGAAAGUGUAUCGUAGUCCGGAUUGUAGUCUGCAACUCGACUACAUGAAGUUGGAAUCGCUAGUAAUCGCGGAUCAGCAUGUCGCGGUGAAUACGUUCCCGGGCCUUGUA